AGAACGAACGCUGGCGGCAUGCCUAACACAUGCAAGUCGAACGCUUGUCCGGCUUCGGCCGGGCAGGAGUGGCGCACGGGUGAGUAGCGCGUGGGAACCUGCCCUGUUGUGGGGGAUAACCGAGGGAAACUUCGGCUAAUACCGCAUGCGCCCGGGGAAACCCGGGGAAAGAUUUAUCGCAGCAGGAGGGGCCCGCGUCGGAUUAGGUAGUUGGUAGGGUAACGGCCUACCAAGCCUGUGAUCCGUAGCUGGUCUGAGAGGAUGAUCAGCCACACUGGGACUGAGACACGGCCCAGACUCCUACGGGAGGCAGCAGUGGGGAAUAUUGGACAAUGGGCGCAAGCCUGAUCCAGCAAUGCCGCGUGAGUGAUGAAGGCCUUAGGGUUGUAAAGCUCUUUCGCCCGCGACGAUGAUGACGGUAGCGGGAGAAGAAGCCCCGGCUAACUUCGUGCCAGCAGCCGC
This 462-nucleotide ribosomal RNA is filed under the name uncultured bacterium. RNAcentral's name for it is "SSU rRNA". It matches the Rfam family "Bacterial small subunit ribosomal RNA", at positions 26 to 518 of the family's 1533-position model. The record is from RNAcentral.